UACGAAGGGGGCUAGCGUUGCUCGGAAUCACUGGGCGUAAAGGGUGCGUAGGCGGUGAGGUAAGUUGGAUGUGAAAUCCCGGAGCUUAACUCCGGAACUGCAUUCAAUACUGCCUUGCUAGAGUACUGGAGAGGAGAUUGGAAUUCACGGUGUAGCAGUGAAAUGCGUAGAUAUCGUGAGGAAGACCAGUGGCGAAGGCGAAUCUCUGGACAGUGACUGACGCUGAGGCACGAAGGCUAGGGGAGCAAACGGG
RNAcentral lists this ribosomal RNA (253 nucleotides) under uncultured bacterium. Its description in RNAcentral is "partial 16S ribosomal RNA". It matches the Rfam family "Bacterial small subunit ribosomal RNA", at positions 524 to 776 of the family's 1533-position model. The record is from RNAcentral.